This 941-nucleotide long non-coding RNA is filed under the name Homo sapiens (human). RNAcentral describes it as "HSALNT0063677". Lineage: Eukaryota; Metazoa; Chordata; Mammalia; Primates; Hominidae. The record is from RNAcentral.
UGCCUCAGGCGCCCAAGUAGCUGGGACUACAGGCGCCCGUCACCACGCCCGGCUAAUUUUUUGUAUUUUUAGUAGAGACGGGGUUUCACGGUGUUAGCCAGGAUGGUCUGGAUCUCCUGACCUCGUGAUCCGCCUCGGCCUCCCAAACUGCUGGGAUUACAGGCGUGAGCCACCACCCCCGGCCGCAGAAAUAUUUUAAUGCCAUUUUAGAAGGUGACUCAGAAGGUUGCUGGUUUUGAGAAGGCUCUACAGCAGGUGCAGGCUGUGGUCCAAGAGCAGGAAGGCAGCAGAAAGGAGAAGUGGAAGGCCAAAAUGAGUGGAGAGAACAAACUAACAUAAGAAAGCUUAAAGCAGGAGAAAGACUGUUUUGCUGUGCCAAGAUACCACCUGGGUUUCCUCUUUGCAGAGAAAAGGAUGAGAGAACAUCCAACUGUUUUGAGAAGGAUGAAGAAUUACUGAGAAGAGUGUCCAUAAAUAUAAAAAGAUAAGGACAAAAAAGAGCUCAGCAGUCUAUGACCACAAAUGGUGAGAGAACAAAAGAUGGCUUUCAAUCAGAUACUCCCUCCUCGCUGAUAUACGUUAUUUACAUAGCUCUGAUGUAUAGGCUAUCCUUGGGAAGACAAAAUGGUGGGUAAAAAAUCCAAAAUUAUUAAACAGAAAAUACCUUACAAAGUUAACAUUUAAUAAUCUCUAUAGAAUUGAUUACUAACUUGUAUUUUAUACUAUCAGGGAGAAAUAAGUCUUGAAAAUACCACAGUCUGUAGAUAAAUAAAGACAUUUGCGAAUAUUUCACUCCCAAGUUUUUGUUUCUUUUGUCAGAAAAUAUUCUGAAUAAGACUAGAUUUUUAAAUACGUUGUAAAAAAAAUGUAUUCCGUAAAAGUUGAAAACAGUGAUACAUUCAGCUCAGAAAUACAUGUUGUUGUUUAUUGAUAAUUCAGGG